AGUGAACGCUGGCGGUAGGCCUAACACAUGCAAGUCGAACGGUAACAGGUCUUCGGAUGCUGACGAGUGGCGAACGGGUGAGUAAAACAUCGGAACGUGCCUAGUAGUGGGGGAUAACUACUCGAAAGAGUGGCUAAUACCGCAUGAGAUCUACGGAUGAAAGCAGGGGAUCGCAAGACCUUGUGCUACUAGAGCGGCCGAUGGCAGAUUAGGUAGUUGGUGGGAUAUAAGCUUACCAAGCCGACGAUCUGUAGCUGGUCUGAGAGGACGAUCAGCCACACUGGGACUGAGAAACGGCCCAGACUCCUACGGGAGGCAGCAGUGGGGAAUUUUGGACAAUGGGCGCAAGCCUGAUCCAGCAAUGCCGCGUGCAGGAUGAAGGCCUUCGGGUUGUAAACUGCUUUUGUACGGAACGAAAAGCCCCGGGUUAAUACCCUGGGGUCAUGACGGUACCGUAAGAAUAAGCACCGGCUAACUACGUGCCAGCAGCCGCCGCGG
This 498-nucleotide ribosomal RNA is filed under the name uncultured bacterium. RNAcentral's name for it is "partial 16S ribosomal RNA". It matches the Rfam family "Bacterial small subunit ribosomal RNA", at positions 29 to 523 of the family's 1533-position model. The record is from RNAcentral.